This 270-nucleotide ribosomal RNA is filed under the name uncultured bacterium. RNAcentral's name for it is "partial 16S ribosomal RNA". It matches the Rfam family "Bacterial small subunit ribosomal RNA", at positions 29 to 325 of the family's 1533-position model. The record is from RNAcentral.
AGCGAACGCUGGCGGCAGGCCUAAAACAUGCAAGUCGAACGAACCCUUCGGGGUUAGUGGCGGACGGGUGAGUAACACGUGGGAACGUGCCCUUUGGUUCGGAACAACUCAGGGAAACUUGAGCUAAUACCGAAUGUGCCCCUUCGGGGGAAAGAUUUAUCGCCAUUGGAGCGGCCCGCGUCUGAUUAGCUAGUUGGUGAGGUAAAGGCUCACCAAGGCUACGAUCAGUAGCUGGUCUGAGAGGAUGAUCAGCCACACUGGGACUGAGAC